RNAcentral lists this ribosomal RNA (506 nucleotides) under uncultured bacterium. Its description in RNAcentral is "partial 16S ribosomal RNA". It matches the Rfam family "Bacterial small subunit ribosomal RNA", at positions 28 to 523 of the family's 1533-position model. The record is from RNAcentral.
GAUGAACGCUAGCUACAGGCUUAACACAUGCAAGUCGAGGGGAAACGAUAUUGGAAGCUUGCUUCCGAUAGGCGUCGACCGGCGCACGGGUGAGUAACGCGUAUCCAACCUGCCCUUGUCCAUCGGAUAACCCGUCGAAAGGCGGCCUAACACGAUAUGCAGUUCUCCGCAGGCAUCUAACGAGAACGAAAUGUAAAGGAGAAGGAUGGGGAUGCGUCUGAUUAGCUUGUUGGCGGGGGAACGGCCCACCAAGGCGACGAUCAGUAGGGGUUCUGAGAGGAAGGUCCCCCACAUUGGAACUGAGACACGGUCCAAACUCCUACGGGAGGCAGCAGUGAGGAAUAUUGGUCAAUGGGCGAGAGCCUGAACCAGCCAAGUAGCGUGCAGGACGACGGCCCUAUGGGUUGUAAACUGCUUUUAUGCGGGGAUAAAGUGAGCCACGUGUGGCUUAUUGCAGGUACCGCAUGAAUAAGGACCGGCUAAUUCCGUGCCAGCCGCCGCCGUAA